This 270-nucleotide unclassified non-coding RNA is filed under the name Hevea brasiliensis (rubber tree). Lineage: Eukaryota; Viridiplantae; Streptophyta; Magnoliopsida; Malpighiales; Euphorbiaceae. The record is from RNAcentral.
CCUUUUCACAAGUUUCAUGAGCUAGGUUGACUUGGACAUUGGAUGAGACAUUGGACAAGAAAAUGGGUUAAGUCUAUUAGAAAGAUGUUUAUGCAUUGAGAUGUCAUAACUGAGAAAAAGAAAAAGAGAGAAAAAGAAAAUGAGAAUGCUAAAAGAACAUUAUUUUCUUAUUUGUAAAUACCGUGCCGGAGACUAGAGACUGGGGAGUAUGUGAGCAGAAUAUAAUUUCGUUAAUCUGUGAUGAAAUUGUGUUGUUUGUUCUUUUAUCUU